UACGAAGGGGGCUAGCGUUGUUCGGAAUCACUGGGCGUAAAGGGCGCGUAGGCGGCCGUUCAAGUCGGGGGUGAAAGCCUGUGGCUCAACCACAGAAUUGCCUUCGAUACUGUUCGGCUCGAGACCGGAAGAGGUUGGUGGAACUGCGAGUGUAGAGGUGAAAUUCGUAGAUAUUCGCAAGAACACCAGUGGCGAAGGCGGCCAACUGGUCCGGUUCUGACGCUGAGGCGCGAAAGCGUGGGGAGCAAACAGG
RNAcentral lists this ribosomal RNA (253 nucleotides) under uncultured bacterium. Its description in RNAcentral is "partial 16S ribosomal RNA". It matches the Rfam family "Bacterial small subunit ribosomal RNA", at positions 524 to 776 of the family's 1533-position model. The record is from RNAcentral.